GACGAACCGUGCGAACGUUAUUCGGAAUUAUUGGGCUUAAAGGGCGCGUAGGCGGCGGCUUAAGUGGGAGGGUAAAUCCUGGCGGCUCAACCGCGGGUGUCCCUCCCAUACUGGGUCGCUCUGAGGCAGGUAGGGGCCGGCGGAACUUCCGGUGGAGCGGUGAAAUGUGUUGAGAUCGGAAGGAACGCCUGUGGCGAAAGCGGCCGGCUGGACCUGUUCCUGACGCUGAGGCGCGAAAGCCAGGGGAGCAAACGGG
This 256-nucleotide ribosomal RNA is filed under the name uncultured bacterium. RNAcentral's name for it is "partial 16S ribosomal RNA". It matches the Rfam family "Bacterial small subunit ribosomal RNA", at positions 524 to 776 of the family's 1533-position model. The record is from RNAcentral.